This 506-nucleotide ribosomal RNA is filed under the name uncultured bacterium. RNAcentral describes it as "bacterial SSU rRNA". It matches the Rfam family "Bacterial small subunit ribosomal RNA", at positions 28 to 524 of the family's 1533-position model. The record is from RNAcentral.
GACGAACGCUGGCGGCGUGGAUUAGGCAUGCAAGUCGAACGGUAUCAUCCUUUCGGGGGUGAGAGAGUGGCGAACUGGUGAGUAACACGUAGGUUAUCUACCCUCAAGACGGGGACAACCCAGGGAAACUUGGGCUAAUACCGGAUGUGAGCAACUUUUAGUUGUUUGAAAGGUGGCGUAAGCUGUCGCUUGGGGAUGAGCCUGCGUCCUAUUAGUUAGUUGGUGAGGUAACGGCUCACCUAGGCAAUGAUAGGUAGGCGGCCUUAACGGGUGGUCGCCCACACUGGGAUUGAGAUACGGCCCAGACUCCUACGGGAGGCAGCAGUCGAGAAUAGUCUACAAUGGUCGGAAGACUGAUAGUGCGACGCCGCGUGAACGAUGAAUCCCUUCGGGGUGUAAAGUUCUUUUAUAUGUGAGCAGUUGCUUCUUAUAUUAACAGUAUGGGGAGAGAGAUAUUAGCAUAUGAAUAAGCAACGGCUAACGUCCGUGCCAGCAGCCGCGGUAAU